Molecule: ribosomal RNA, 2902 nt
Filed under: Escherichia coli BIDMC 39
Lineage: Bacteria; Pseudomonadati; Pseudomonadota; Gammaproteobacteria; Enterobacterales; Enterobacteriaceae
Description: bacterial LSU rRNA
Rfam family: Bacterial large subunit ribosomal RNA
Source: RNAcentral
UUAAGCGACUAAGCGUACACGGUGGAUGCCCUGGCAGUCAGAGGCGAUGAAGGACGUGCUAAUCUGCGAUAAGCGUCGGUAAGGUGAUAUGAACCGUUAUAACCGGCGAUUUCCGAAUGGGGAAACCCAGUGUGAUUCGUCACACUAUCAUUAACUGAAUCCAUAGGUUAAUGAGGCGAACCGGGGGAACUGAAACAUCUAAGUACCCCGAGGAAAAGAAAUCAACCGAGAUUCCCCCAGUAGCGGCGAGCGAACGGGGAGCAGCCCAGAGCCUGAAUCAGUGUGUGUGUUAGUGGAAGCGUCUGGAAAGGCGCGCGAUACAGGGUGACAGCCCCGUACACAAAAAUGCACAUGCUGUGAGCUCGAUGAGUAGGGCGGGACACGUGGUAUCCUGUCUGAAUAUGGGGGGACCAUCCUCCAAGGCUAAAUACUCCUGACUGACCGAUAGUGAACCAGUACCGUGAGGGAAAGGCGAAAAGAACCCCGGCGAGGGGAGUGAAAAAGAACCUGAAACCGUGUACGUACAAGCAGUGGGAGCACGCUUAGGCGUGUGACUGCGUACCUUUUGUAUAAUGGGUCAGCGACUUAUAUUCUGUAGCAAGGUUAACCGAAUAGGGGAGCCGAAGGGAAACCGAGUCUUAACUGGGCGUUAAGUUGCAGGGUAUAGACCCGAAACCCGGUGAUCUAGCCAUGGGCAGGUUGAAGGUUGGGUAACACUAACUGGAGGACCGAACCGACUAAUGUUGAAAAAUUAGCGGAUGACUUGUGGCUGGGGGUGAAAGGCCAAUCAAACCGGGAGAUAGCUGGUUCUCCCCGAAAGCUAUUUAGGUAGCGCCUCGUGAAUUCAUCUCCGGGGGUAGAGCACUGUUUCGGCAAGGGGGUCAUCCCGACUUACCAACCCGAUGCAAACUGCGAAUACCGGAGAAUGUUAUCACGGGAGACACACGGCGGGUGCUAACGUCCGUCGUGAAGAGGGAAACAACCCAGACCGCCAGCUAAGGUCCCAAAGUCAUGGUUAAGUGGGAAACGAUGUGGGAAGGCCCAGACAGCCAGGAUGUUGGCUUAGAAGCAGCCAUCAUUUAAAGAAAGCGUAAUAGCUCACUGGUCGAGUCGGCCUGCGCGGAAGAUGUAACGGGGCUAAACCAUGCACCGAAGCUGCGGCAGCGACGCUUAUGCGUUGUUGGGUAGGGGAGCGUUCUGUAAGCCUGUGAAGGUGUGCUGUGAGGCAUGCUGGAGGUAUCAGAAGUGCGAAUGCUGACAUAAGUAACGAUAAAGCGGGUGAAAAGCCCGCUCGCCGGAAGACCAAGGGUUCCUGUCCAACGUUAAUCGGGGCAGGGUGAGUCGACCCCUAAGGCGAGGCCGAAAGGCGUAGUCGAUGGGAAACAGGUUAAUAUUCCUGUACUUGGUGUUACUGCGAAGGGGGGACGGAGAAGGCUAUGUUGGCCGGGCGACGGUUGUCCCGGUUUAAGCGUGUAGGCUGGUUUUCCAGGCAAAUCCGGAAAAUCAAGGCUGAGGCGUGAUGACGAGGCACUACGGUGCUGAAGCAACAAAUGCCCUGCUUCCAGGAAAAGCCUCUAAGCAUCAGGUAACAUCAAAUCGUACCCCAAACCGACACAGGUGGUCAGGUAGAGAAUACCAAGGCGCUUGAGAGAACUCGGGUGAAGGAACUAGGCAAAAUGGUGCCGUAACUUCGGGAGAAGGCACGCUGAUAUGUAGGUGAAGUCCCUCGCGGAUGGAGCUGAAAUCAGUCGAAGAUACCAGCUGGCUGCAACUGUUUAUUAAAAACACAGCACUGUGCAAACACGAAAGUGGACGUAUACGGUGUGACGCCUGCCCGGUGCCGGAAGGUUAAUUGAUGGGGUCAGCGCAAGCGAAGCUCUUGAUCGAAGCCCCGGUAAACGGCGGCCGUAACUAUAACGGUCCUAAGGUAGCGAAAUUCCUUGUCGGGUAAGUUCCGACCUGCACGAAUGGCGUAAUGAUGGCCAGGCUGUCUCCACCCGAGACUCAGUGAAAUUGAACUCGCUGUGAAGAUGCAGUGUACCCGCGGCAAGACGGAAAGACCCCGUGAACCUUUACUAUAGCUUGACACUGAACAUUGAGCCUUGAUGUGUAGGAUAGGUGGGAGGCUUUGAAGUGUGGACGCCAGUCUGCAUGGAGCCGACCUUGAAAUACCACCCUUUAAUGUUUGAUGUUCUAACGUUGACCCGUGAUCCGGGUUGCGGACAGUGUCUGGUGGGUAGUUUGACUGGGGCGGUCUCCUCCUAAAGAGUAACGGAGGAGCACGAAGGUUGGCUAAUCCUGGUCGGACAUCAGGAGGUUAGUGCAAUGGCAUAAGCCAGCUUGACUGCGAGCGUGACGGCGCGAGCAGGUGCGAAAGCAGGUCAUAGUGAUCCGGUGGUUCUGAAUGGAAGGGCCAUCGCUCAACGGAUAAAAGGUACUCCGGGGAUAACAGGCUGAUACCGCCCAAGAGUUCAUAUCGACGGCGGUGUUUGGCACCUCGAUGUCGGCUCAUCACAUCCUGGGGCUGAAGUAGGUCCCAAGGGUAUGGCUGUUCGCCAUUUAAAGUGGUACGCGAGCUGGGUUUAGAACGUCGUGAGACAGUUCGGUCCCUAUCUGCCGUGGGCGCUGGAGAACUGAGGGGGGCUGCUCCUAGUACGAGAGGACCGGAGUGGACGCAUCACUGGUGUUCGGGUUGUCAUGCCAAUGGCACUGCCCGGUAGCUAAAUGCGGAAGAGAUAAGUGCUGAAAGCAUCUAAGCACGAAACUUGCCCCGAGAUGAGUUCUCCCUGACCCUUUAAGGGUCCUGAAGGAACGUUGAAGACGACGACGUUGAUAGGCCGGGUGUGUAAGCGCAGCGAUGCGUUGAGCUAACCGGUACUAAUGAACCGUGAGGCUUAACCUU